GAGUUUGAUUAUGGCUCAGAACGAACGCUGGCGGCGCGUUUUAAGCAUGCAAGUCGAAUGGAAAAUAGCUUUCGGGUUAUUGGACAUGGCGGACUGGUGAGUAACACGUAGAUAAUCUGCCCUUGAGUUGGGGAUACCUUAUGGAAACAUGAGAUAAUACCGAAUGAGGUCUUUUUUGCGUAGGCGAGAAAGAUGAAAGGAGCUACGGCUUCGCUUGAGGAUGAGUCUGCGGCUCAUUAGCUAGUUGGUGGGGUAACGGCCUACCAAGGCGAUGAUGAGUAGCCGGCCUGAGAGGGUGAUCGGCCACAUUGGGACUGAGAUACGGCCCAAACUCCUACGGGAGGCAGCAGCUAAGAAUCUUCCGCAAUGGACGAAAGUCUGAUCGGAGCGACGCCGCGUGCAUGAUGAAGGCAGAGAUNUUGUAAAGUGCUUUUAUUGGGGAAGAAUAAUGAGGGUAGGAAAUGACCUUCAGAUGACAUAACCGGANCGNUUCCC
RNAcentral lists this ribosomal RNA (495 nucleotides) under Spirochaeta sp. canine oral taxon 314. RNAcentral describes it as "bacterial SSU rRNA". It matches the Rfam family "Bacterial small subunit ribosomal RNA", at positions 9 to 491 of the family's 1533-position model. The record is from RNAcentral. Lineage: Bacteria; Pseudomonadati; Spirochaetota; Spirochaetia; Spirochaetales; Spirochaetaceae.